AUUUAGCAUGCCUGUGAGACUUCCCUCCAGUUUAUGAGUCACCAAACAUCAAACCAGGAAACUAAGAACACCACUGUUUCAAGGCUGUGGACAAUCACCAGUGACAACAUUGCUGCUGAGACUGAGAGAGACUUCUAUAGUCAUGAUAAGGUGAAAAUGGAUAUGCAAGUUGAGAAGACAAGAGAUAUCAGAAACCUUCACUGGAUCCCAGAGUCACUCCACCAACAAGAGGAAACACUUUAUUCCAGGAACAAUGGGCGUGAGGCUGAACUACACCCAGUUCAUUGCAGUGCACACACACACACACACACACACACAAACACACACACACACACACACACACACACAUUGCUCAUUAAUAGUAGAUAUGGAUUAUGUUUUUCAUUACAGAAGAAGCCUUUAUUUUCAUCACAUAUUCAUUACAGCAGAGUGGAACUUCUCUUCUGAACCAUUCACAGUAUUUGGGAAAAUGGCACAUCUGUAUAACUGUUUAUUCUGUACUUUAUACUUUAUACUUUGUACUGUGGCUUCAAUUUCCUUUAUUACUAGUACUGUUCUUGUUUAUAUAUUCUAUAUUUUUUAAACUGUAUUUUUAUUAUCUUU
Hemibagrus wyckioides is the source of this 603-nucleotide long non-coding RNA. RefSeq lists it as uncharacterized. NCBI's taxonomy places the organism in Eukaryota, Metazoa, Chordata, Actinopteri, Siluriformes, Bagridae. The transcript has 3 exons. The record is from RefSeq and is a predicted model, not a curated record.